UCUCACUUUAGCUCUAACUUAUUUGUGUACGUGCACACCUGUACAAGAGAACAAUAUUACUUUUAUAGAGUUAGUAAUCAAAGUUUGACACCAACUCGAAUUGCUGGUCCUUCAUCAAGUUCGAGUCCUAAAACAAUUCAAACUCCGAUUCCUUAUCUUAGAUCCGGACAUACUUCUCUUCAUAUAAGGAUACCUCUUCUCCUUAUCUCCUAUGCAAUCUCUUCGAUCAGUUCAGAGGAUACUUAUAAGAUAUGGCUGGUUGAUCCCAUUCUUCACGUGCACAUCAUGUGCAUAGGCAGUAACACCUGUGUCUCCUAAGAUGAACCUGGUCUUUCACUGAGGUCAUUUGUCAUUCUUCAAAACUUCAACUGAACUUGGGCCAACAAAUU
RNAcentral lists this long non-coding RNA (389 nucleotides) under Nicotiana benthamiana. RNAcentral describes it as "long non-coding RNA (NBEN_LNC037043)". Lineage: Eukaryota; Viridiplantae; Streptophyta; Magnoliopsida; Solanales; Solanaceae. The record is from RNAcentral.